This is a long non-coding RNA of Nymphaea colorata (pocket water lily), 2725 nucleotides long. RefSeq lists it as uncharacterized. The transcript has 2 exons. NCBI's taxonomy places the organism in Eukaryota, Viridiplantae, Streptophyta, Magnoliopsida, Nymphaeales, Nymphaeaceae. The record is from RefSeq and is a predicted model, not a curated record.
UGGAACCGAACAAGUGAAUGGACACGAAUCAGAAUUGACGAAUUAAGUUGGUCAUCUAAAUCUGGAUGCACACCAGAAUCUCAUAAAAGAAGUCCCUUUCCAAACCACCCAACAAAAUUGGCGGGACUUCUCGUCGUGCUUUGUCCUUCGCAGCCGCACGGAUCCCCUCGCUUCACCUUCUUGGGUCUCUCUGUUUCUCCCUUUCUCUGCAUUGCAGCCCAAAGUCCACUCUGUUCGUCCGUUUGAUUUGCAUUUUCCUUUCUUCCGAUCUGUUUUGCAUUUCGUUUCCUGUUCUCUAUGGAUGAUUCUUGCAGUGUGAUGAAGAUUUUUAUAGCUAGGAAACUACAUUUGCGUUGCAUCGUUUUUGUAAGUUCUUUUCCUCUUUCUUGCUCUUAUUAAAUUCGUUGUGAAAGGUAAAUUUCCAGGAAUUUGCUUGUUAAGGCGUCAAGGAAGGUAGUGAAUUUAGGAAUCGUCCUGCCCCAUUUGGUUUCCUCCAUGAACAUGACCCGUGCUAUACAAGCGUUCUUUGCAGUGCAUGUUCCUUUAUUUGCUACGAGGGAAUUUGUGUUAUGUUAAUUGUGCAGUUUUGGAGUGAUUAUGGGCAUUAGGAUCUUUUUGGAUCCUUUUAUUUUGUAGUUCCUACUUUGAUGAUGGUGGAUUUGUGUCAUUACCGUUUGUGAUGUGGAUAUUUUGCAACUUGUUUUUUUUGGCUGGUGUCGUUUUAGUUCUGUAUAUGAUAGUGCUUUUCUCUAUGGUCAUGUUUGCAUAGACGAAACGAAUAUGAGUGUGACACUGCUAUUCCCCCAGUUUCUCUUAUUUUUUCUGUCAAAGUAGCUAUCCCAUCCCGGUUUUCUGCUCCACUUGCACCUCGAAAAACUGCAACGAAUUCCAAUGGUUUUCAUGGCAGAUCCCUUACCUCAUGUCCCAUAGACUGCUACUUGUGUUCCACUAAAUGUUCGGCUACAUUCGUGAAGCUAAGUUUUCUGCUCCACAAGGGUUGAAUGUCAUUUGAUUAGGGGGGCAAGAUGGUAUCCAUUUCUUGGUCAUGUGCAACUAGUUACUGCUGUGUCCUUGGGUUUUGCAUGUUACUAACAUCUUAUUACUUUUAUUCCAAUGUUUAUAGACUUCGAACGCAGCCUUGAUUAUUUUUUGGGUUUACCAUAGACUGCAAUACAAAUUACCUGAGCUGUUGGUUUUGAAUAAGUUUUGUUAAAAUUUGAUUUGUUUACAUGAAAUUCUGUUUUCAGGUUGUCAAUUCAUGCAUAAGGCAUGUAUUUACUGUUAUUUAAUUUGUUCUUGGAUGUGCUGGUUCUUCACUGGAACAUCUAUGGCAUAUCAAAGGACUCAGACCACAUUUACUGUAUUGAAACAUACUUAUUCCAAGAUUCUUUUCAUUUUCUAAUUGAUCGCAAAUCAGAAGGUUGCCUCAACUGGCCACCAUCUUCUGCCAUUGAAGAGGGAAAGAACUUAGAAUGCUAAAAUUUGUGUGUGAUUUCUUUGCUUUUUCCUUUUUGAUUGAAAAGAAAAUUGGAAAAGCAGAACCAGGGAGUGGAGGCACCUUUCUGAGGUCCCUGGUUGUUUUGUUGCGUAAGCUAUUAAGAGUUUAGAUGGACAAAAUUAGCAAGACAUCUGUUCAUCCAUAUUUGCCAUUUUUCUGGUUUAACAUCAUACAGAUGGACAAUCUUCUGAGAUUGCAAAUGUUCUUGUUUUGUAGUUAAGAAAGCUUUUUUUUUUUUUUUUCUGGGGCCUAGUUUCCAUUUCUGCGGUUAAACUUCCAUCCUGAGUUAAGAAGAAUGAAAAUCAAUUUUGUUGGGAAGCUAACGAAGAACAACUUGUGUCACUUCUAGCAACACUGAUUUAUUUUGCUAUUCUUCAACUCAAAUCACAAUUUCUAUAAUGUAUAAAGUCUAUGCAUGGUGAAGUCGUAGUUUGUACAACUCGAAAUGCAUAGAAACUCUAUCAGCAAGUAAAGAGAAAAGACAAGAUGGGCCAGAUUCAGUAUCCUGAUAAAUACUUCGAUGACACUUACGCAUACAGGUUCGGCUUCUUUUACCUUUCUCUGAUUUGCUACAAUAUUAGCUGGCAGUCCGGAUUUGUUCACUCUUUCCACAGUGCCAAUGGAUGGAUCAGAGCCUAUUGAUUUGGUUUCUCUGGUCAAGGGAAUGAUGAAGAGGAUACUCAAGAUCCAUCACCAUGACCACCCAAGAAAUUUCAGAGGACUGAUUCCUGCAAGUAUGUGAAUGGCCAAGAGGAGAAUCCCUUACUAGUGAGCCUCCGCUGUACCCCUGCCCCCAAGGUUGAAGGUUUGGUUCAGGACCUGGGUGACUGGUGUCACUGUUUGCGGUACAGGUGAGUAGUAUCCGUAAGACUCGAAUGGAACCGACAACGUGCUGUUUACACAGGGGUGUGGGAACUUCACAAGCACACAGGGCUGGAGCGAACUUGGCUCCUGGCAGCAGCCCAAAAAGAACCAUUUUCUUGAUCAAUUCUGAUGUCUAUGGAAGACUGCAGGCAGUUCUUUCUGUGCACUCUGUGACUUUUGUAGCUUGCAUCGUAGACGCCAUGUAGAGAUCAAAGGGUGUGGAUCUUUCUGUGAAGCCUUCCUGCACCUUUAAGCAGCUUGGGUUUGGAGGGGACAAGCCACUUUAUCUCUAUCUUUUUGUGAAAGGCCGGAAGAUUUUUCCGUCAAGUUAUAUCUAUACACAAAUACUCAUCCGGAAUUUCA